UACGUAGGGUGCGAGCGUUGUCCGGAAUUAUUGGGCGUAAAGAGCUCGUAGGCGGUUUGUCGCGUCGACUGUGAAAACUGGGGGCUUAACUCUCAGCUUGCAGUUGAUACGGGCAGACUUGAGUUCGGUAGGGGAGACUGGAAUUCCUGGUGUAGCGGUGAAAUGCGCAGAUAUCAGGAGUAACACCGGUGGCGAAGGCGGGUCUCUGGGCCGAUACUGACGCUGAGGAGCGAAAGCGUGGGGAGCGAACAGG
This 253-nucleotide ribosomal RNA is filed under the name uncultured bacterium. RNAcentral's name for it is "partial 16S ribosomal RNA". It matches the Rfam family "Bacterial small subunit ribosomal RNA", at positions 524 to 776 of the family's 1533-position model. The record is from RNAcentral.